GGGCGGUUAGCUCAGCGGUAGAGCACUACCUUCACACGGUAGGGGUCACAGGUUCGAUCCCUGUACCGCCCACCA
Molecule: transfer RNA, 75 nt
Filed under: Rhodanobacteraceae bacterium
Lineage: Bacteria; Pseudomonadati; Pseudomonadota; Gammaproteobacteria; Lysobacterales; Rhodanobacteraceae
Also listed under: 1 other name
Description: tRNA-Val
Rfam family: tRNA
About the family: Transfer RNA (tRNA) molecules are approximately 80 nucleotides in length. Their secondary structure includes four short double-helical elements and three loops (D, anti-codon, and T loops).
Source: RNAcentral